RNAcentral lists this ribosomal RNA (275 nucleotides) under uncultured prokaryote. RNAcentral's name for it is "partial 16S ribosomal RNA". It matches the Rfam family "Bacterial small subunit ribosomal RNA", at positions 524 to 800 of the family's 1533-position model. The record is from RNAcentral.
UACGUAGGGGCUAGCGUUAUCCGGAAUUACUGGGCGUAAAGGGUGCGUAGGUGGUUUCUUAAGUCAGAGGUGAAAGGCUACGGCUCAACCGUAGUAAGCCUUUGAAACUGAGAAACUUGAGUGCAGGAGAGGAGAGUGGAAUUCCUAGUGUAGCGGUGAAAUGCGUAGAUAUUAGGAGGAACACCAGUAGCGAAGGCGGCUCUCUGGACUGUAACUGACGCUGAGGCACGAAAGCGUGGGGAGCAAACAGGAUUAGAUACCCUGGUAGUCCCUGA